GAACCUUGGAAGACACAACUUGCCUGUUUCUGCUAUAUCUGAUCCCAUCCGUUCACUGAACCCGACCAUCUUCUCCCCCCCUCUCUCUCUUUUCCCCUUUGUUAUAUAUCAUUGUUAUUGACCUCAAUUUUGCUUUUUUUAAGAGAAAAAUUUUGUUGUUGACCGGGAAGGUCCUAUCCGUUUCUUCCUUCUGCAAAUCACCUGUAACUCUUACCGGUAGAAUUGUUUGUAAUUCGCUUAAAGUGCACUGCUGCAAUUGCUCUGGUUUGAAAGAGCAACUCAUUGCAUAGCCUCGGCUAAUAUCGGAGCCUUCAAUUCCCUUUGUCGAGGACUAACUUUCAAUUGAUGAUAGCCUGAACAUGCUCACAUUUCGGAUUCUUAUUUAACUAUACCAUUCCAUUUCAAAAAAAGGAUUUAAACUGCUGCUUACCAUAUUGGGGGCUGAAAACGGGUUCGAUCUGAGGUGACAGACAAAUUAGAAACAGUUGAACUCGUUGGGAUUUCCUGAAGGUGGGAUUAUUCUGCCCUCGAAUGAAUAUGAGAGCUGCUGGGAAAGUUCCGGUGUCCGUUGUCGAGAGAAAAAACGGUGAGUAUGAUCCCUCACGAGGACGUGCUGGUAACUUCGGCUUGGAAUCACUGCUUCUGUUUAUAUGCCUAACGGCAUCCUUGCUCAUCCUUCCAUUGAUACUACCGCCGUUGCCUCCACCGCCUUUCAUGCUCUUACUGCUUCCCAUUGCCAUUUUAACUGUCCUACUGUUAUUGGCUUUCAUGCCAUCCAACGGAAGGGAUUUAACUUUGUAAAUGUUGUCUCUUUCAUCAUACAAU
Hibiscus syriacus is the source of this 825-nucleotide long non-coding RNA. RefSeq lists it as uncharacterized. The record is from RefSeq and is a predicted model, not a curated record. The transcript is spliced from 2 exons. NCBI's taxonomy places the organism in Eukaryota, Viridiplantae, Streptophyta, Magnoliopsida, Malvales, Malvaceae.